Long non-coding RNA from Podarcis raffonei (Aeolian wall lizard), 1416 nucleotides. RefSeq lists it as uncharacterized. The transcript is spliced from 4 exons. NCBI's taxonomy places the organism in Eukaryota, Metazoa, Chordata, Lepidosauria, Squamata, Lacertidae. The record is from RefSeq and is a predicted model, not a curated record.
AGGGGGCUAUCGCAAAGGGUGGUGAUUAGAAUCCAGCUUAUAACUGAGAUUUCUCAAGUGAUGGAGGCAGAGAUUCUGCAAACUUCACAAUUACAGGAGGUUUUAUUUCCCCAAGCUCCAUGUUGCUUUGCUCAAGCAAAAGUACUUUUUUUGGGGGGGGGCAGAAAAAGUCUCACCGAGUUCUGAUGUUUAUGAGCAAAGUAGCAUGGAAAAUAUCAUAUACACUAUGGGCCCCAAUAGAAUUGCCUUAGAAUUGCUGCAUGUUAUCUUUACAUGAUGUGAUGAGCUGCCGUUUGCCUGUCUUCCACAAGCUUCUCACAUGCAGGAAACGUGUAAAAGCAUUGAAAGAGACAAGAAUUCACAUGCUUUCAUAAGAAGUUAAGAAAAAUCCACCUAGAAGUCAAUAAAAUCCACCGCUGACAAAAAUCAUGGCUGCUUUAUGACUACAACACAGGCCCCAGCUCUUCCGAUGUUCAGGGAUGCCAUCUGCAGAGAAGAAAGAAAUAUCAGCUUCAGAGUUUACAUUUGGGAGUGAAAAGGCUGCAGUUUUAUGGCAUGUACUUCUGAGGUGUCAAAACAAGCAACCAGUAAUUCAACAACACAUUAUACAGGAAACCUAAUAUUGCUGCAUCCUUCUAGUUAUGCAUGGAAACAUUGCAUUAAUGGUGGACUUAUGAGCUGGAGUUGAAGACCCUGGCCUAGUGCCUCGCCUCCACAACUGCUAUGAGGGACAUAAAGAUCUAUAGCAUCUGCAAACUGCAGCUAACAAAUCCUUUUCUCCGUUACUCAUUAAUAACCUUUUAAAUUAUGGAACUGUUACAGCUUCAUACAUGUAUACAUUAACUGUCUCCAAGUGUUCCACAGCAUUCAUGCUUGCUUGUUUUAAUGUGCUGCCUUCUGCACUGGGUAUAGGAAAAGGUUGAUUCUCCCUCCAUUGAAAAGUCUUCUGGGAAGAGCUCCUGAAAAUUUGGAACUGUUUUGCUUAAGGCAUGGCUCUUACUAAGAGAAUUGCAAGAGGGGGGGAAUUGACUUCAAUUCAGAUCAAGAGAAUUCUUUUGCUGGCUUCUUGAAAAAUAUAUAAAAAGAAUUAAGUUUUAUUUGUAUGUGUUUUUAUUAAAUUUAUAAGCAACUUUUUAAUGUUCUCUACAGUUAGGCACGUUAAAAACAAAUUGACAAAUAAAAUUAAGACGCAAGUAAAAAGUGUACUUUGCAAUGUGGAGUUUGAAAACUACAGUAAGCAGUAGUAAUUUCAACUACAGUGGUACCUUGGGUUAAGAACUUAAUUCAUUCUGGAGGUCCAUUCUUAACCUGAAACUGUUCUUAAUCUGAGGUACCACUUUAGCUAAUCGGGCCUUCUGCUGCUGCCGCACAAUUUCUGUUCUCAUCCUGAAGCAAAGUUCUUAACCUGAGGUACUA